GAUGAACGCUGGCGGCGUGCUUAACACAUGCAAGUCGAACGAGAAUCAACGGAUUGAGGAUUCGUCCAAAUGAAGUUGAGGAAAGUGGCGGACGGGUGAGUAACGCGUGAGGAACCUGCCUCGGAGUGGGGAAUAACAGUUGGAAACAGCUGCUAAUACCGCAUAAUGCAACGGAAUCGCAUGACUCUGUUGCCAAAGAUUUAUCGCUCUGAGAUGGCCUCGCGUCUGAUUAGCUAGUUGGCGGGGCAACGGCCCACCAAGGCGACUAUGGGUAGCUGGGUUGAGAGACCGACCAGCCAGAUUGGGACUGAGACACGGCCCAG
This 323-nucleotide ribosomal RNA is filed under the name uncultured bacterium. Its description in RNAcentral is "bacterial SSU rRNA". It matches the Rfam family "Bacterial small subunit ribosomal RNA", at positions 28 to 334 of the family's 1533-position model. The record is from RNAcentral.